CCUUUACUCUGAUCACCAGAGAAAGCUAUUUAGAACAUGAUGGGCUAAGGAUAACAGGAAAAGGUAAAGAAAAACUAUGAUUGCAAAACUUCGCUCACAUCUCUGUGUAGAUAAAGCUUGGUUGUGAAAGAUAGACGGCCCAUAUGCAACCCAGGAUGACCAGAGGGGAACUGGCACUGCCCCUUAACUGUGAGCCGAAAAAAUGGUGCAAAUUAUGGUGAAUUUAAAUUUUAAAAUGUGUUUCUUCCUUAAUAGAGAUUUAGACUGCAUGGCCUUCAUGGACUACUGUUUCUCUUUGAGAGGUACUGUGGCAUUACAUCUGAAGUUAGGAAGAAAGCAAAAAACCCCACAAGUCAGAAUUCCCCUCGAGAACCCCUAAGGAAGGUGUGACCACGCUGAAAACCAACACCCCACUUCUCCAGCGCAGUCAGCUUUUCCUCCGGUGUCAGAACAAUUGUGGUUUCUUUGGAUGAGCACCAGAUGAAAUAAUUGGCUCAUAUCUAGAGAUCACCUUGUAAAGAAAACACAUCUUUAAACACAACUAUACUCAGCACAGCAAGAUGCUCACAUCCCAUUAAAAAAAAAAAUAGUAUGUACCCUUGACAUGAUAUAAUAAAAAUGAUAUUUUACCUCUAUGAUUCUUCCCCCUAAAAACCUUUAGGGAAUCUCAGUCUAAUCAUGAGAAAGAGAAUCAGACAAAUCCCAACUGAGGAACAUUCUACAAAAAAACCUCAUUAGAACUCCUCAAAACUGUCAAGGUCAUCGAAAACAAGUGCUGGGCAUGUGGCUCAUGCCUGUAAUCCCAGCACUUUGUGGGGCCAAGGUGGGAGGAUCACUUGAGCCCAGGAGUUCAAGACUAGCCUGGGCAACAUGGCAAGACCCUGUCUC
This 888-nucleotide long non-coding RNA is filed under the name Homo sapiens (human). RNAcentral's name for it is "non-protein coding lnc-EPAS1-2:1". The record is from RNAcentral. Lineage: Eukaryota; Metazoa; Chordata; Mammalia; Primates; Hominidae.